RNAcentral lists this transfer RNA (68 nucleotides) under Agrilus nicolanus. RNAcentral's name for it is "tRNA-Leu". It matches the Rfam family "tRNA". From Rfam's summary of the family: Transfer RNA (tRNA) molecules are approximately 80 nucleotides in length. Their secondary structure includes four short double-helical elements and three loops (D, anti-codon, and T loops). Further hydrogen bonds mediate the characteristic L-shaped molecular structure. tRNAs have two regions of fundamental functional importance: the anti-codon, which is responsible for specific mRNA codon recognition, and the 3' end, to which the tRNAs corresponding amino acid is attached (by aminoacyl-tRNA synthetases). tRNAs cope with the degeneracy of the genetic code in two manners: having more than one tRNA (with a specific anti-codon) for a particular amino acid; and 'wobble' base-pairing, i.e. permitting non-standard base-pairing at the 3rd anti-codon position. The record is from RNAcentral. Lineage: Eukaryota; Metazoa; Arthropoda; Insecta; Coleoptera; Buprestidae.
GUUAUUUUGGCAGAAUAGUGCGUUAGAUUUAGAAUCUAUUUAAGUAAAUUUUAAUUUACAUAUAAUAC